RNAcentral lists this ribosomal RNA (253 nucleotides) under uncultured bacterium. RNAcentral's name for it is "partial 16S ribosomal RNA". It matches the Rfam family "Bacterial small subunit ribosomal RNA", at positions 524 to 776 of the family's 1533-position model. The record is from RNAcentral.
UACGAGGGGGGCGAGCGUUGUUCGGAAUUAUUGGGCGUAAAGGGUGCGUAGGCGGUUUGGUAAGUCUUAUGUGAAAUCUACAGGCUCAACUUGUAGUCUGCACGAGAAACUGCCGGGCUUGAGUAUGGGAGAGGUGAGUGGAAUUCCUGGUGUAGCGGUGAAAUGCGUAGAUAUCGGGAGGAACACCUGUGGCGAAAGCGGCUCACUGGACCACAACUGACGCUGAGGCGCGAAAGCUAGGGGAGCAAACAGG